RNAcentral lists this ribosomal RNA (451 nucleotides) under uncultured bacterium. Its description in RNAcentral is "bacterial SSU rRNA". It matches the Rfam family "Bacterial small subunit ribosomal RNA", at positions 29 to 521 of the family's 1533-position model. The record is from RNAcentral.
AACGAACGCUGGCGGCAGGCUUAACACAUGCAAGUCGAACGCUUGGGAGCGAUCCCUUGAGUGGCAGACGGGUGAGUAACGCGUGGGAACAUACCCUUCGGUACGGAACAACUUGGGGAAACUCGAGCUAAUACCGUAUGCGGCCUAUGGGCGAAAGAUUGUAUCGCCGAAGGAUUGGCCCGCGUCCGAUUAGCUAGUUGGUGGGGUAACGGCCACCAAGGCGACGAUCGGUAGCUGGUCUGAGAGGAUGGCCAGCCACAUUGGGACUGAGACACGGCCCAAACUCCUACGGGAGGCAGCAGUGGGGAAUAUUGGACAAUGGGCGCAAGCCUGAUCCAGCCAUGCCGCGUGAGUGAUGAAGGCCUUAGGGUUGUAAAGCUCUUUCGCACGCGACGAUAAUGACGGUAGCGUGAGAAGAAGCCCCGGCUAACUUCGUGCCAGCAGCCGCCGU